Molecule: long non-coding RNA, 244 nt
Filed under: Pan troglodytes (chimpanzee)
Lineage: Eukaryota; Metazoa; Chordata; Mammalia; Primates; Hominidae
Description: lincRNA
Source: RNAcentral
UUUCCACCGUCAUCCAGAGCAGGACAAACACGCCAGGUGGUGUCAGGAGCCUAGGUCUCCAGCUGGAGGGAACGUCAACCCUGCAGUGGGAGCCCAUCAUGCAUCCUAGGCACAGAUGCUAAUGUAGGCACCGCAGACCAUAAAGGAAAACAGCAAGAGGUCCCCAGCAAACAUCUACAGAUGGCCCUGGACAUCAGCCACAUUCGGAGAAACAUGUCAUGUUCUGGGAGGGCUAAGGCAUCGA